AAUUCUCAACCAUCCCUCGAUUCGUUUCGAGGUUUGGCUUGGAUUUUGGGGGCUGCCGGCGACCCUCGGGUCUUCGGCUCUCCUUAAAAGCAUUAGCGAUGGCGGCGCGAUCUGACCAUGCAUGAACGGCCCUCGACGUGAUAAUGAUCGUCGUGGCUGGAGUGCUAGUGGGCGUCGUGAAGUCAGUGCUUCUAAAUCGUCGUCGAAAGGCGAAACUUGAA
RNAcentral lists this unclassified non-coding RNA (221 nucleotides) under uncultured Paxillus. RNAcentral's name for it is "sequence contains ITS2". The record is from RNAcentral. Lineage: Eukaryota; Fungi; Basidiomycota; Agaricomycetes; Boletales; Paxillaceae.